Molecule: ribosomal RNA, 484 nt
Filed under: uncultured bacterium
Lineage: Bacteria
Description: bacterial SSU rRNA
Rfam family: Bacterial small subunit ribosomal RNA
Source: RNAcentral
CUGGCGGCGUGCCUAACACAUGCAAGUCGAACGGAAACCAGACGCUCGGAGACUUCGGUCAAUGUUUGUUGGUUUAGUGGCGGACGGGUGAGUAACGCGUGGAUAACCUGCCAUAUACAGGGGGAUAACAGUUAGAAAUGACUGCUAAUACCGCAUAAGCGCACAGUCUCGCAUGGGACAGUGUGAAAAACUCCGGUGGUAUAUGGAUGGAUCCGCGUCUGAUUAGCCAGUUGGCGGGGUAACGGCCCACCAAAGCGACGAUCAGUAGCCGGCCUGAGAGGGUGAACGGCCACAUUGGGACUGAGACACGGCCCAAACUCCUACGGGAGGCAGCAGUGGGGGAUAUUGCACAAGUGGGGGAAACCCUGAUGCAGCCGACGCCGCGUGAGUGAAGAAGUAUUUCGGUAUGUAAAGCUCUAUCAGCAGGGAAGAUAAUGACGGUACCUGACUAAGAAGCACCGGCUAAAUACGUGCCAGCCGCCGC